UGGUGGUCCUGUCUGGCUCUAGGGCUGUCUGGAGUCAUGUACUGUCUGUCUGGAGUCAUGUACUGUCUGUCUGGAGUCAUGUACUGUCUGUCUGGAGUCAUGUACUGUCUGUCUGGAGUCAUGUACUGUCUGUCUGGAGUCAUGUACUGUCUGUCAUAGACUACUAGGUCUGCCUGGAGUAAUGUACUGUCUGUCAUAGACCACUAGGUCUGUCUGGAGUAAUGUACUGUCUGUCAUAGACCACUAGGUCUGUCUGGAGUCAUGUACUGUCUGUCAUAGACCACUAGGUCUGUCUGGUGUAAUGUACUGUCUGUCAUAGACCACUAGGUCUGUCUGGGGUAAUGUACUGUCUGUCAUAGACCACUAGGUCUGUCUGUAGCAAUGUACUGUCUGUCUGGAGUCAUGUACUGUCUGUCUGUCUGUCUGGAGUAAUGUACUGUCUGUCUGGAGUAAUAUGCUGUCUGUCUGGAGUAAUGUACUGUCUGUCAUAGACCACUAGGUCUGCCUGGAGUCAUGUACUGUCUGUCAUAGACCACUAGGUCUGCCUGCAGCCAUGUACUGUCUGUCUGGAGUCAUGUACUGUCUGUCUGUCUGGAGUCAUGUACUGUCUGUCUGUCUGGAGUCAUGUACUGUCUGCCUGGGGUAAUGUGCUGUCUGUCAUAGACCACUAGGUCUGUCUGGGGUAAUGUACUGUCUGUCAUAGACCACUAGGUCUGUCUGGAGUCAUUUGCUGUCUGUCUGG
Long non-coding RNA from Oncorhynchus keta (chum salmon), 742 nucleotides. RefSeq lists it as uncharacterized. Lineage: Eukaryota; Metazoa; Chordata; Actinopteri; Salmoniformes; Salmonidae. The transcript is spliced from 3 exons. The record is from RefSeq and is a predicted model, not a curated record.